AGUUGGAUCUAGGGACGCGCAUUUCAAGCGCCCGUGUCGUCGGGUCAAACCGGCGACUGCGUUGGCGUUGCGGGCUCGGUCCGUCGGUGCUCACAAAAGCAUCGGCGUGUCAACCGGCCCGCCCGUCCCCUCCUUCUGGAUUCCCGUUCCUGCUAUUGAGUUAGUGGGGACGUCACAGGGGGCCCAUCGUCGUGUCAUGCAAAUGGCACGGCGGUGAGUCCCUGGGGCCCAGAUCGUUUACCGUGAAAAAAUUAGAGUGUUCAAAGCAGGCAGAUCCAAUUUUCUGCCACCGAAUACAUUAGCAUGGGAUAAUGGAAUAGGACCCUGUCCUCCUAUUUUCAGUUGGUUUUGGCAGCGCGCGGCCUAGGGUAAUGAUUAAUAGGGAUAGUUGGGGGCCUUAAUAUUUAAUUGUCAGAGGUGAAAGUCUUGGGUUUAUUAAAGAUUAACCUUCUGCGAAAGCAUCUGCCAAGGAUGCAAAACACCACCACCGGCCCGGUCGUCCUUGGCCUGGAUUGGAUUCACAGCCGAGGCGCGCGAGGGCGGUUUAGCCCGUGUGGCACCGGUGAAUGACUCCCCUAGCAGCUUGUGAGAAAUCAUAAGUCUUUGGUUCCGGGGGGAGUAUGGUCGCAAGGCUGAAACUUAAAGGAAUUGACGGAAGGGCACCCAA
This 667-nucleotide ribosomal RNA is filed under the name Acanthamoeba sp. LC-2013 strain CF4-132. Its description in RNAcentral is "SSU rRNA". It matches the Rfam family "Eukaryotic small subunit ribosomal RNA", at positions 632 to 1172 of the family's 1831-position model. Lineage: Eukaryota; Discosea; Longamoebia; Acanthamoebidae. The record is from RNAcentral.